Molecule: long non-coding RNA, 359 nt
Organism: Homo sapiens (human)
Lineage: Eukaryota; Metazoa; Chordata; Mammalia; Primates; Hominidae
Exons: 2
Source: RefSeq, a predicted model, not a curated record
ACCAGACCCACAUGAGACCUCUAUCAGCAGAACUGCUGGUGAAAAUGUGAGGAAUGUCUCUGUCCUUCCCUGACUCAUCAGACCUCAGGAUGACCUUCCUUCCUGACACAGCCCUCCUGCGCAAGUAACUCACCAUCUUCCUGUGCCCAGCUACCACCAGACACCUGCAGGUGAGCUCACUGCAAGCUUGGCGUCGUGGUGCUGCGCACAGCCCUCUUCAGCACACAGUGUCAGCACCGUCCUAUAAAAUCUCCAGCCAGCCUUUGUUUCUUUGCAGUCGGCAUCUCUCAUGCAGGCUGCCCUGUCUCCUUGCAACCUAUUUUUCUACUUUCUCCAAUAAAUCAGCCUUUUUCUGCCUA